GUACACGCUGUGACUAGCAUAUCAAUAAGCGGAGGAAAAGAAACUAACAAGGAUUCCCCUAGUAACGGCGAGUGGAAGCGGGAAGAGCUCAAAUUUGAAAUCUUAAAGGGUUUCCCUUUACGAAUUGUAGUUUAAAGAAGUGUUUUCUGUUGAGGUUUUGGUAAAAGUUCUUUGGAAUAGGACAUCAUAGAGGGUGAGAAUCCCGUAUUUGACCUUUACUUUCAACUUUGUGAUACACUUUCAAAGAGUCGGAUUGUUUGGGAAUGCAGUCCAAAAUGGGUGGUAAAUUUCAUCUAAAGCUAAAUAUUGGCGAGAGACCGAUAGCGAACAAGUACCGUGAGGGAAAGAUGAAAAGAACUUUGAAAAGAGAGUUAAACAGUACGUGAAAUUGUCAAAAGGGAAGCGUUUGACACCAGUGUUGUUUUUCUCGAAAAUCAAUUAAAGAACUGUUUAUGCUAAGUUGUUUAGACUUUAUCAGCUAACUGUUUAGUUUUGAGCUUUUCUUUAAUGCACUUUUCAGUUAACAAGUCAACAUCAAUUUCUUUUGCUGUAAAAAAGCUUGAGGAAGGUGGCUUGAGAUUCGUCUUAAGUGUUUAUAGCCUCUUGCCUAUGCAGUCGGAGAGAUUGAGGUCUGCAGCGUAGAUCCUUCGGGGCUAAAUGCAUUUGCGCUAAGUUAUAGCAUUUUAUAGACAACUUGUUGACUAUGAUUUGUCUUGUAGCUUACUCGCUUAUGUUAUUUUACCUACGCUUAGGAUGUUGAAGUCAUCGUAUCGCGC
This 776-nucleotide ribosomal RNA is filed under the name uncultured Neocallimastigales. RNAcentral's name for it is "partial large subunit ribosomal RNA". It matches the Rfam family "Eukaryotic large subunit ribosomal RNA", at positions 22 to 645 of the family's 3401-position model. The record is from RNAcentral. Lineage: Eukaryota; Fungi; Neocallimastigomycota; Neocallimastigomycetes; Neocallimastigales.